AUGAACGCUGGCGGCGUGCCUAAUACAUGCAAGUAGAACGCUGAAGCUUGGUGCUUGCACCGAGCGGAUGAGUUGCGAACGGGUGAGUAACGCGUAGGUAACCUGCCUCUUAGCGGGGGAUAACUAUUGGAAACGAUAGCUAAUACCGCAUAAAAGUCGAUAUCGCAUGAUAUUGAUUUGAAAGGUGCAAAUGCAUCACUAAGAGAUGGACCUGCGUUGUAUUAGCUAGUUGGUGAGGUAACGGCUCACCAAGGCGACGAUACAUAGCCGACCUGAGAGGGUGAUCGGCCACACUGGGACUGAGACACGGCCCAGACUCCUACGGGAGGCAGCAGUAGGGAAUCUUCGGCAAUGGGGGCAACCCUGACCGAGCAACGCCGCGUGAGUGAAGAAGGUUUUCGGAUCGUAAAGCUCUGUUGUAAGAGAAGAACGAGUGUGAGAGUGGAAAGUUCACACUGUGACGGUAACUGACCAGAAAGGGACGGCUAACUACGUG
RNAcentral lists this ribosomal RNA (496 nucleotides) under uncultured bacterium. RNAcentral describes it as "partial 16S ribosomal RNA". It matches the Rfam family "Bacterial small subunit ribosomal RNA", at positions 29 to 507 of the family's 1533-position model. The record is from RNAcentral.